AAGAGAAUAGUUCAUAAGAUAUAGAACAUUAGCUUGUCAUGCUAAAUGAGGAAGUUUUUCCUUCUCUUA
This 69-nucleotide transfer RNA is filed under the name Laemobothrion sp. RNAcentral's name for it is "tRNA-Asp". It matches the Rfam family "tRNA". From Rfam's summary of the family: Transfer RNA (tRNA) molecules are approximately 80 nucleotides in length. Their secondary structure includes four short double-helical elements and three loops (D, anti-codon, and T loops). The record is from RNAcentral. Lineage: Eukaryota; Metazoa; Arthropoda; Insecta; Psocodea; Laemobothriidae.